This 566-nucleotide ribosomal RNA is filed under the name Trametes hirsuta. RNAcentral describes it as "LSU rRNA". It matches the Rfam family "Eukaryotic large subunit ribosomal RNA", at positions 62 to 617 of the family's 3401-position model. Lineage: Eukaryota; Fungi; Basidiomycota; Agaricomycetes; Polyporales; Polyporaceae. The record is from RNAcentral.
AAACUAACAAGGAUUCCCCUAGUAACUGCGAGUGAAGCGGGAAAAGCUCAAAUUUAAAAUCUGGCGGUCUUUGGCCGUCCGAGUUGUAGUCUGGAGAAGCGUCUUCCGCGUUGGACCGUGUACAAGUCUCUUGGAACAGAGCGUCAUAGAGGGUGAGAAUCCCGUCUUUGACACGGACYACCAAUGCUUUGUGAUGCGCUCUCAAAGAGUCGCGUUGUUUGGGAAUGCAGCGCAAAAUGGGAGGUGAAUUCCUUCUAAAGCUAAAUAUUGGCGAGAGACCGAUAGCGAACAAGUACCGUGAGGGAAAGAUGAAAAGCACUUUGGAAAGAGAGUUAAACAGUACGUGAAAUUGCUGAAAGGGAAACGCUUGAAGUCAGUCGCGUCGUCCGGAACUCAGCCUUGCUUCGGCUUGGUGCWCUUUCCGGUUGACGGGCCAGCAUCGAUUUUGACCGCUGGAAAAGGGCUGGAGGAAUGUGGCACCUUCGGGUGUGUUAUAGCCUUCAGUCGCAUACAGCGGUUGGGAUCGAGGAACGCAGCACGCCUUAUGGCUGGGGUUCGCCCACAUU